GAUGAACGCUGGCGGCGUGCCUAACACAUGCAAGUCGAGCGAGAAACUGACAGAUGAAACUUCGGUAGAUUCAGUCGGUGGACAGCGGCGGACGGGUGAGUAACGCGUGGGCAACCUGCCCUUCACUGGGAGAUAGCCGCGGGAAACUGCGAGUAAUAUCCCAUAAUGCAGCAUAUCUACAUGGAUAAGCUGCCAAAGAUUCAUCGGUGAAGGAUGGGCCCGCGUCUGAUUAGCUAGUUGGUAAGGUAGCGGCUUACCAAGGCGACGAUCAGUAGCCGGCCUGAGAGGGCGGACGGCCACAUUGGAACUGAGACACGGUCCAGACUCCUACGGGAGGCAGCAGUGGGGAAUAUUGCACAAUGGGCGAAAGCCUGAUGCAGCGACGCCGCGUGAGGGAAGAAGGCCUUCGGGUCGUAAACCUCUGUCCAAGGGGAAGAAAAAAAUGACGGUACCCUUGGAGGAAGCCCCGGCUAACUACGUG
This 481-nucleotide ribosomal RNA is filed under the name uncultured organism. RNAcentral describes it as "bacterial SSU rRNA". It matches the Rfam family "Bacterial small subunit ribosomal RNA", at positions 28 to 507 of the family's 1533-position model. The record is from RNAcentral.